This 301-nucleotide ribosomal RNA is filed under the name uncultured bacterium. RNAcentral's name for it is "partial 16S ribosomal RNA". It matches the Rfam family "Bacterial small subunit ribosomal RNA", at positions 509 to 808 of the family's 1533-position model. The record is from RNAcentral.
CAGUAGCCACGGUAAUACGUAGGUGGCAAGCGUUGUCCGGAAUUAUUGGGCGUAAAGGGCUCGCAGGCGGUUUCUUAGUCUGAUGUGAAAGCCCCCGGCUCAACCGGGGAGGGUCAUUGGAAACUGGGAAACUUGAGUGCAGAAGAGGAGAGUGGAAUUCCACGUGUAGCGGUGAAAUGCGUAGAGAUGUGGAGGAACACCAGUGGCGAAGGCGACUCUCUGGUCUGUAACUGACGCUGAGGAGCGAAAGCGUGGGGAGCGAACAGGAUUAGAUACCCCCGUAGUCCCUGUCUCUUAUACC